RNAcentral lists this ribosomal RNA (486 nucleotides) under uncultured bacterium. RNAcentral describes it as "partial 16S ribosomal RNA". It matches the Rfam family "Bacterial small subunit ribosomal RNA", at positions 28 to 523 of the family's 1533-position model. The record is from RNAcentral.
GAUGAACGCUGGCGGCGUGCCUAAUACAUGCAAGUCGAGCGAAUGGAUUAAGAGCUUGCUCUUAUGAAGUUAGCGGCGGACGGGUGAGUAACACGUGAGCAAUCUGCCCUUGACUCUGGGAUAACUGCGGGAAACUGUAGCUAAUACCGGAUACUUUCACUGGAAGGCAUCUUCUGGUGAAGAAAGAAUCUCGGUCAAGGAUGAGCUCGCGGCCUAUCAGCUUGUUGGUGAGGUAACGGCUCACCAAGGCGACGACGGGUAGCCGGCCUGAGAGGGUGACCGGCCACACUGGGACUGAGACACGGCCCAGACUCCUACGGGAGGCAGCAGUGGGGAAUAUUGCACAAUGGGCGCAAGCCUGAUGCAGCAACGCCGCGUGAGGGAUGAAGGCCUUCGGGUUGUAAACCUCUUUUAGCAGGGAAGAAGCGAAAGUGACGGUACCUGCAGAAAAAGCACCGGCUAACUACGUGCCAGCAGCCGCAGUAA